This 157-nucleotide unclassified non-coding RNA is filed under the name uncultured Hypocreales. RNAcentral's name for it is "sequence contains ITS1". Lineage: Eukaryota; Fungi; Ascomycota; Sordariomycetes; Hypocreales. The record is from RNAcentral.
UUGAGUGUAAAAACUCCCAACCCUAUGUGAACAUACCUAUCGUUGCUUCGGCGGAACGCCCCGGUGCCCCUUGCGGCCCGGAACCAGGCGCCCGCCGGAGGCCCCAAACUCUUGUUUGAACCGUAUUCUCCUCUGAGUGGAUUUUACAAAUAAAUCA